UUUUGUCUCGUUGUCUACUUAUUUGUAUGAAAACACUUUGUGUUUCAAUGCAAAGAGGGGCAUGAUGUAGACACGUAAUUUUGUCCCUCCCCAAAAGCAUUUGUUUUAUUUUUUACCUUAUCCUACCCGUAUACCCCUUCCCUUUUUAGGAUAAUCACACAAAUAUAAAGGGGACCACAUGCCAUAAGUACUUAAACAAUACAAUAUAAUCACACAAAAAAAAACACCUCACUUGGGUCCAAUGAAAACCUUCCAGGGAGCAUAUAGAUAUACCACACAAUACAAAAGGGGGGACUCCACAGGAUUCUAUUUUAAAGAGGGGCCCACGGGAAAGGGAAAAACACAACAAUUAUAUACACACCAUGACCAUUUUUGGAUAAGGACGAAUAUAACAAAAAAAGGGACGGACCCACUUGGUGACAGAGAGCACAAGCACACAAUAUACUCCCUCACAAAUACACACAUAGGAAGGAAUUCCUCACAAUUUCCAUGCAGAAGAGAACAACCACUCCAUUUUUCCAUUUUUCUUUUCUGAAUAACGUAGACCACAUCCAUGAAAUUCAUCGCUGUAGUACGUACCCACACACAUAUAUCUCACCAUAAAACACUCACUGUCACUAGAAUCUGACCCUCUCCCAUCAGUUUUGUAGCCGUUUGAGCUCUGGAGUUUUGGCUAUACGUCCUUUUCUUGGUUUUUGUGACAAAUUCAGAUAUUUGUUGGUUCACUGCUCUUGGUAGAAUUUUGUUCGUGUAUUGUUUGUUUUCUACAAUUUUAUCUUGGUGUCACUGGAAGACGGUCAAAGGGAUGCAUACCGGAGCUGGGGGUUCGAGUUGAAGUUCCGAAUUGAGGUUUUUUGGCACGCGUAUUUGUAUUCUUGAUUGACUGAUAUUCAGAGUAAAAUUAUCAUUGAGGUUUGGAGGCUCAGUCUGAGGGUCCGGCUAAUCAGUAGAGUAUUCCAGAGAAAAGUGAUCCAUGCAGUGGUGAGCCUUCUUUGUUCCAGAAGGCUUGUUAUUUCGGAUUAUGUUAUUCCAGUGUUUGGUCUACUGGGGGCCUUGUCCCAGUUUUCAAAAUAGUUUUGAAAUGUAUUAGAGAUUUCGUAGACUAAAUCAGAUCUUAUCCAGAAGUUUUGAAAUUAGGCAAGGACUUGUGAAGAUUCUGUUAGUGCCUCAGAGUGUAUUGAUUCUAGUGUGAAUUUUGAUUCUGAUGAAAUCAUGCUUUUGAGCCUGCGGUAUUAAGUGUAUUCAGGCCCUUUCAAAA
This is a long non-coding RNA of Capsicum annuum, 1258 nucleotides long. RefSeq lists it as uncharacterized. The record is from RefSeq and is a predicted model, not a curated record. The transcript has 2 exons. NCBI's taxonomy places the organism in Eukaryota, Viridiplantae, Streptophyta, Magnoliopsida, Solanales, Solanaceae.